Molecule: ribosomal RNA, 253 nt
Filed under: uncultured bacterium
Lineage: Bacteria
Description: partial 16S ribosomal RNA
Rfam family: Bacterial small subunit ribosomal RNA
Source: RNAcentral
UACGUAGGGGGCUAGCGUUGUCCGGAUUUAUUGGGCGUAAAGAGCGUGUAGGCGGCCGUGUAGGUCCGUUGUGAAAACUCGAGGCUCAACCUCGAGACGUCGAUGGAAACCACACGGCUAGAGUCCGGAAGAGGAGAGUGGAAUUCCUGGUGUAGCGGUGAAAUGCGCAGAUAUCAGGAAGAACACCUAUGGCGAAGGCAGCUCUCUGGGACGGUACUGACGCUGAGACGCGAAAGCGUGGGGAGCGAACAGG